Perca fluviatilis (European perch) is the source of this 896-nucleotide long non-coding RNA. RefSeq lists it as uncharacterized. The transcript is spliced from 3 exons. Lineage: Eukaryota; Metazoa; Chordata; Actinopteri; Perciformes; Percidae. The record is from RefSeq and is a predicted model, not a curated record.
AUGUGUUUUCUCUUCUGAUUAAAACAAAACUGUUUAAACCACAGAAUAAGGAUCAAACAAUUACGAAGCUAACAUUAGCUAGCUGGCUUUUAAGACAAUGUACCAUGGAUGUCUUAAUCAAUACACUGUUAAAAGUUACCGCGAAAACAAUGGCUUCUCUUUAAAGUGGUAUGGACAGUUUUCUUGGAUGGAAUACAGUGUAAAUAAGGACGAGCUUUUCUGCAGCAUGUGCAGACAUUUCCCCAGCGGAGCUGACAGCCCAUCAGCCAGAGAGGAGGCCCUCACUGAGGUAACAUUCGUUAAGUAAAACAUGUUUCAUGCUUCUCACGAUGUGACCAUAGUCCUGAAGCAUAUGGAUAGGAUAUGUUACAUGUGCGAUGUUUGUCUGAUGUAGGCUAUUCUAUGUCAUGCAGCAUGUAAUUUAGAUGCCUUCUCUGCUGUUUGGGUUCAUGAUUAGUUCCCACUUUGUGCAAUAAAAUGGUUAAUUGUAUAACAGUGCUGUGCAGAGCCAAUGCUGCUGGCCCCUCAACCGGUUUCUUUACCCAGUAACCCAAAAGAAGACGUAAGAAUGAGCUAUCACAGGGGUGGCCACACCUUAACAACCCAUUACUCAUACAAUUCCUGAAUGUUGUUCACAACCUGAUAUCAUGUUACCUGCUUUGUGUAAAUGGGUAUAAAAGGUGAUGUGUGUUCAGAGAAGGACCUCAACCAGCAAACAGCAACAGGUGGAAUCAGAGAGCAUCACAGCUUCAAUCACUGCAGUCAAGACAAAUCUACGGUAGACAAAACCUUAUAGCACAUCCCAAAAUGAUGAUGAAGAUCUAUGUCAUCCUCCUUCUGUGUGUUGGAAUAACAACCAUGGCUGCAGCAACAACAACAGCUGCCGAACACACCAA